UGCGUAGGCGGUCUGAUAAGUCAGUGGUGAAAUACGGCAGCUUAACUGUCGAGGUGCCAUUGAUACUGUUAGACUUGAGUACAGACGAGGUAGGCGGAAUUGACGGUGUAGCGGUGAAAUGCUUAGAUAUCGUCAAGAACACCGAUAGCGAAGGCAGCUUACUAGACUGUAACUGACGCUGAUGCACGAAAGUGUGGGGAUCAAACAGGAUUAGAUACCCUGGUAGUCC
RNAcentral lists this ribosomal RNA (229 nucleotides) under uncultured bacterium. RNAcentral describes it as "partial 16S ribosomal RNA". It matches the Rfam family "Bacterial small subunit ribosomal RNA", at positions 568 to 796 of the family's 1533-position model. The record is from RNAcentral.